UCAAGCUAUAAAGAGCGCAAGGGGAAUGCCUUGGCAUCAGGAGCCGACGAAGGACGUGACAAGCUGCGAUAAGCUUCGGGGAGGAGCAAAUAUCCGUUGAUCCGGAGAUUUCCGAAUGGGGAAACCCACCAGAGCAAUACUUUGGUAUCGUGCGUUGAACAAAAUAGGCGUACGAAGGGAACGCCCUGAACUGAAACAUCUAAGUAGGGGCAGGAAAAGACAUCAACCGAGAUUCCGCAAGUAGUGGCGAGCGAACGCGGAGGAGGCCAAACCGGUGGAUUUAUUCACCGGGGUUCGGACUGGCAUCACGAUCAGAGGUAUCUAGAAGAACGGCAUGGGAAGGCCGGCCAUAGAGGGUGAGAGCCCCGUAUUUGAAAGAGAAGACUGACAGCCAGUAUCCAGAGUACCGCGGGACACGUGAAACCCCGUGGGAAGACGGGUGGACCACCAUCCAAGCCUAAAUACUACCUGAUGACCGAUAGAGGAGCAGUACCGUGAGGGAAAGGUGAAAAGGACCCCGGGAGGGGAGUGAAAGAGAACCUGAAACCUUGUGCUUACAAGCACUCAAAGCACGUUAAAGUGUGAUGAGGUACUUUUUGUAGAACGGUCCGGCGAGUUAUUGUAUGUAGCGAGCUUAAGGUGUUCAGCACCGGAGGCGAAGCGAGAGCGAGUCUGAAUAGGGCGACUGAGUUGCAUGCAAUAGACCCGAAACCAGGUGACCUAUCCAUGGGCAGGUUGAAGUGGGGGUAAAACCCCAUGGAGGACCGAACCGACCCCCGUUGCAAUGGUGGCGGAUGACCUGUGGAUAGCGGAGAAAUUCUAAUCGAACUUGGAGAUAGCUGGUUCUCCCCGAAAUAGCUUUAGGGCUAGCGUUGAUUUAGAUUACCGGAGGUAAAGCACUGAAUGGGCUAGGGGCUGAUAAAGUUACUGAACCCUAUCAAACUAAGAAUGCCGGCAAAUUGAUGAUCAGCAGUCAGACUACGUGAGAUAAGUCUCGUGGUCAAAAGGGAAACAGCCCAGACCCACAGCUAAGGUCCCAAAUAUACGCUAAGUGGAAAACGAUGUGGAAUUGCGAAAACAACCAGGAUGUUGGCUUAGAAGCAGCCACUCAUUAAAAGAGUGCGUAAUAGCUCACUGGUCGAGUGACUCUGCGCGGAAAAUAUAACGGGGCUAAGCGUAACACCGAAGCUUGGGCUGCACAGCAAUGUGCGGGGUAGGGGAGCGUCGAAUAUGGGGUGAAGUCGCAGCGGAAGCAGCGGUGGACUGUAUUCGAGUGAGAAUGCCGGAAUGAGUAGCGAGAAUUAUGUGGGAAUCAUAAUGGCCGAAAAUCUAAGGUUUCUUGGGGAAGGUUCGUCCGCCCAAGGUAAGCCGGGAGCUAAGGCGAGGCCGAAAGGCGUAGUCGAUGCACAUACGGUUGAAAUUCCGUAGCCACCGAAACUUAAACCAGAAGGACACUUGGAGCUAUCCGAACCCGGGCGUUGGUUGACCCGGGCGUAAGGGACCGAAAUUAAGUAGGGAAGUCGGAGAAUGACGAGGCGAGAAAAGUUCUGGUGUAUGCUAAGGUGCCCGUACCGCAAACCGACACAGGUAGAUGAGGAGAGAAUCCUAAGGCCAACGGGAGAAGGGUUGUUAAGGAACUCGGCAAAAUUACCCCGUAACUUCGGGAUAAGGGGAGCCCCCUACGGGGGGCCGCAGAGAAUAGGCCCAAGCGACUGUUUACCAAAAACACAGGUCUAUGCUAAAUCGAAAGAUGACGUAUAUGGGCUGACGCCUGCCCGGUGCUGGAAGGUUAAGAGGAGAGCUUAGCGCAAGCGAAGGUUUGAAUUGAAGCCCCAGUAAACGGCGGCCGUAACUAUAACGGUCCUAAGGUAGCGAAAUUCCUUGUCAGGUAAGUUCUGACCC
Molecule: ribosomal RNA, 1902 nt
Filed under: human gut metagenome
Description: bacterial LSU rRNA
Rfam family: Bacterial large subunit ribosomal RNA
Source: RNAcentral